GAACGCUAGCGGCAUGCUUAACACAUGCAAGUCGAACGGCAGCGCAAGGGGCUUUCUCCUGGCGGCGAGUGGCGGACGGGUGAGUAAUGCGUAGGAAUCUACCUUAAAUAGUGGGGGAUAACCUGAGGAAACUCGGGCUAAUACCGCAUGAUCUCUUCGGAGCAAAGCGGGGGAUCGUUAGACCUCGUGCUAUAAGAUGAGCUUACGUCGGAUUAGUUUGUUGGUGGGGUAAAGGCCUACCAAGGCGAUGAUCCGUAGCUGGUCUGAGAGGACGAUCAGCCACACUGGGACUGAGACACGGCC
This 303-nucleotide ribosomal RNA is filed under the name uncultured Coxiella sp. Its description in RNAcentral is "bacterial SSU rRNA". It matches the Rfam family "Bacterial small subunit ribosomal RNA", at positions 31 to 331 of the family's 1533-position model. Lineage: Bacteria; Pseudomonadati; Pseudomonadota; Gammaproteobacteria; Legionellales; Coxiellaceae. The record is from RNAcentral.